UCGCGUUGAGGCCCUUCUACAGUGAAGAGGGAAACGAGAUAUGGUAGGGUAAGGUGCGAAAAGAGAUCAAAAGACGAGGAUAAAAGGAAAAUGUAGAAUAGAUCAUUGUUAUCGAGGGGAAGGUGACAACGAGGCAUAAUGUAAAAUUUAAUCAGGAGGACAGUUAGACUGGUUGAAGAACUAGGAUGGGGUGGGAUGAAAAGAGGGAAAGCAAGGAUUACUUGAAGUUAGAGAAGUCAAUAUACCACUGGGUGGGGUAAGCUGCCCAAGCGAAAUAUGGGGUGCUGUUCCUCCAAUUUACAUUGGGUCUCACUCUCACAGAGGACAGCAAGGGCAUUAUAGAAGGGGGAGUUAAAGUGCUGAGCAAUCGGGAGAUCAUGUUGGUCUAGACUCUAGGCAGACAGAGUGGAGGUGUUCAGCAAAACUAUCGCUGAGCCUACACUUGGUCUCGCCGAUAUAUAGGAGUCCACACCUGGACCAGCGG
Molecule: long non-coding RNA, 484 nt
Organism: Amblyraja radiata (thorny skate)
Lineage: Eukaryota; Metazoa; Chordata; Chondrichthyes; Rajiformes; Rajidae
Exons: 3
Source: RefSeq, a predicted model, not a curated record